UACGAAGGGGGCUAGCGUUGCUCGGAAUCACUGGGCGUAAAGCGCACGUAGGCGGAUCUUUAAGUCAGGGGUGAAAUCCCGGAGCUCAACUCCGGAACUGCCUUUGAUACUGGGGAUCUUGAGUUCGAGAGAGGUGAGUGGAACUGCGAGUGUAGAGGUGAAAUUCGUAGAUAUUCGCAAGAACACCAGUGGCGAAGGCGGCUCACUGGCGCGAUACUGACGCUGAGGUGCGAAAGCGUGGGGAGCGAACAGG
Molecule: ribosomal RNA, 253 nt
Filed under: uncultured bacterium
Lineage: Bacteria
Description: partial 16S ribosomal RNA
Rfam family: Bacterial small subunit ribosomal RNA
Source: RNAcentral